ACCAUGCAGUCGAACGGUGAAGCCCAGCUUGCUGGGUGGAUCAGUGGCGAACGGGUGAGUAACACGUGAGCAAUCUGCCCCUGACUCUGGGAUAAGCGCUGGAAACGGCGUCUAAUACUGGAUAUGAACCGUGGAGGCAUCUUCAACGGUUGGAAAGAUUUUUUGGUCAGGGAUGAGCUCGCGGCCUAUCAGCUUGUUGGUGAGGUAAUGGCUCACCAAGGCGUCGACGGGUAGCCGGCCUGAGAGGGUGACCGGCCACACUGGGACUGAGACACGGCCCAGACUCCUACGGGAGGCAGCAGUGGGGAAUAUUGCACAAUGGGCGCAAGCCUGAUGCAGCAACGCCGCGUGAGGGAUGACGGCCUUCGGGUUGUAAACCUCUUUUAGCAGGGAAGAAGCGAAAGUGACGGUACCUGCAGAAAAAGCGCCGGCUAACUACGUGCCAGCAGCCGCGGUAAUACGUAGGGCGCAAGCGUUAUCCGGAAUUAUUGGGCGUAAAGAGCUCGUAGGCGGUUUGUCGCGUCUGCUGUGAAAUCCCGAGGCUCAACCUCGGGUCUGCAGUGGGUACGGGCAGACUAGAGUGCGGUAGGGGAGAUUGGAAUUCCUGGUGUAGCGGUGGAAUGCGCAGAUAUCAGGAGGAACACCGAUGGCGAAGGCAGAUCUCUGGGCCGUAACUGACGCUGAGGAGCGAAAGGGUGGGGAGCAAACAGGCUUAGAUACCCUGGUAGUCCACCCCGUAAACGUUGGGAACUAGUUGUGGGGUCCAUUCCACGGAUUCCGUGACGCAGCUAACGCAUUAAGUUCCCCGCCUGGGGAGUACGGCCGCAAGGCUAAAACUCAAAGGAAUUGACGGGGACCCGCACAAGCGGCGGAGCAUGCGGAUUAAUUCGAUGCAACGCGAAGAACCUUACCAAGGCUUGACAUAUACGAGAACGCUGCAGAAAUGUAGAACUCUUUGGACACUCGUAAACAGGUGGUGCAUGGUUGUCGUCAGCUCGUGUCGUGAGAUGUUGGGUUAAGUCCCGCAACGAGCGCAACCCUCGUUCUAUGUUGCCAGCACGUAAUGGUGGGAACUCAUGGGAUACUGCCGGGGUCAACUCGGAGGAAGGUGGGGAUGACGUCAAAUCAUCAUGCCCCUUAUGUCUUGGGCUUCACGCAUGCUACAAUGGCCGGUACAAAGGGCUGCAAUACCGUAAGGUGGAGCGAAUCCCAAAAAGCCGGUCCCAGUUCGGAUUGAGGUCUGCAACUCGACCUCAUGAAGUCGGAGUCGCUAGUAAUCGCAGAUCAGCAACGCUGCGGUGAAUACGUUCCCGGGUCUUGUACACACCGCCCGUCAAGUCAUGAAAGUCGGUAACACCUGAAGCCGGUGGCCCAACCCUUGUGGA
This 1385-nucleotide ribosomal RNA is filed under the name Microbacterium laevaniformans. RNAcentral describes it as "bacterial SSU rRNA". It matches the Rfam family "Bacterial small subunit ribosomal RNA". The record is from RNAcentral. Lineage: Bacteria; Bacillati; Actinomycetota; Actinomycetes; Micrococcales; Microbacteriaceae.